This 498-nucleotide ribosomal RNA is filed under the name uncultured bacterium. Its description in RNAcentral is "partial 16S ribosomal RNA". The stretch from base 20 to 375 matches the Rfam family "Bacterial small subunit ribosomal RNA", at positions 47 to 391 of the family's 1533-position model. The record is from RNAcentral.
GAUGAACGCUGGCGGCGUGCCUAAUACAUGCAAGUCGAGCGAACAGACGAGGAGCUUGCUCCUCUGACGUUAGCGGCGGACGGGUGAGUAACACGUGGAUAACCUACCUAUAAGACUGGGAUAACUUCGGGAAACCGGAGCUAAUACCGGAUAAUAUAUUGAACCGCAUGGUUCAAUAGUGAAAGACGGUUUUGCUGUCACUUAUAGAUGGAUCCGCGCCGCAUUAGCUAGUUGGUAAGGUAACGGCUUACCAAGGCGACGAUGCGUAGCCGACCUGAGAGGGGGGAUAGGCAAAACUGGAAAUGAGAACGGGCCAAACCGCAGACGGGAGGAAGAAGGGGGGAAUUUCCAGAAAGGGGGGAAAGCCUGAGGAAGAAAGGAGGGGGGAGGAAGAAAGUUUUACGGAACAAAAAACGUUUUGAUGGGGGAAAAAAAAAGGUGAAAGAAAAAAGGAACGUAUGGAGGGAACAAAACAAAAAAGCCACGGAAAACUACGUC